GACGAACGCUGGCGGCGUGCUUAACACAUGCAAGUCGAACGGAGCACCCUUGAAUGAGACUUCGGUCAAAGGAAAGGAAUGCUUAGUGGCGGACUGGUGAGUAACGCGUGAGGAACCUGCCUUUCAGAGGGGGACAACAGUUGGAAACGACUGCUAAUACCGCAUGACGCAUUCGGAUGGCAUCAUCUGAAUGCCAAAGAUUUAUCGCUGAAAGAUGGCCUCGCGUCUGAUUAGAGAGUUGGCGGGGUAACGGCCCACCAAGGCGACGAUCAGUAGCCGGACUGAGAGGUGGACCGGCCAAAUUGGGAGUGAGAUACGGCCCAGACUCCUACGGGAGUCAGCAGGGGGGAAUAUUGGGCAAUGGGCGCAGGCCUGACCCAGCAACGCCGCGUGAAGGAAGAAGGCUUUCGGGUUGUAAACUUCUUUUAAGAGGGAAGAGCAGAAGACGGUACCUCUUGAAUAAGCCACGGCUAACUACGUGCCAGCAGCCGCCGUAA
This 497-nucleotide ribosomal RNA is filed under the name uncultured bacterium. Its description in RNAcentral is "partial 16S ribosomal RNA". It matches the Rfam family "Bacterial small subunit ribosomal RNA", at positions 28 to 523 of the family's 1533-position model. The record is from RNAcentral.